Molecule: ribosomal RNA, 301 nt
Filed under: uncultured bacterium
Lineage: Bacteria
Description: partial 16S ribosomal RNA
Rfam family: Bacterial small subunit ribosomal RNA
Source: RNAcentral
CAGUCGCCGCGGUAAUACGGAGGAUCCAAGCGUUAUCCGGAUUUAUUGGGUUUAAAGGGUGCGUAGGUGGCCUGUUAAGUCAGGGGUGAAAGACGGUAGCUUAACUAUCGCAGUGCCUUUGAUACUGACGGGCUUGAAUACACUAGAGGUAGGCGGAAUGUGACAAGUAGCGGUGAAAUGCAUAGAUAUGUCACAGAACACCAAUUGCGAAGGCAGCUUACUAUGGUGUCAUUGACACUGAGGCACGAAAGCGUGGGGAUCAAACAGGAUUAGAUACCCCUGUAGUCCCUGUCCUUAUACA